This 773-nucleotide ribosomal RNA is filed under the name Bacillus cereus. RNAcentral's name for it is "bacterial SSU rRNA". It matches the Rfam family "Bacterial small subunit ribosomal RNA", at positions 39 to 792 of the family's 1533-position model. The record is from RNAcentral. Lineage: Bacteria; Bacillati; Bacillota; Bacilli; Caryophanales; Bacillaceae.
GGGGGGGGUCUAUACAUGCAGUCGAGCGAAUGGAUUAGAGAGCUUGCUCUUAUGAAGUUAGCGGCGGACGGGUGAGUAACACGUGGGUAACCUGCCCAUAAGACUGGGAUAACUCCGGGAAACCGGGGCUAAUACCGGAUAACAUUUUGAACCGCAUGGUUCGAAAUUGAAAGGCGGCUUCGGCUGUCACUUAUGGAUGGACCCGCGUCGCAUUAGCUAGUUGGUGAGGUAACGGCUCACCAAGGCAACGAUGCGUAGCCGACCUGAGAGGGUGAUCGGCCACACUGGGACUGAGACACGGCCCAGACUCCUACGGGAGGCAGCAGUAGGGAAUCUUCCGCAAUGGACGAAAGUCUGACGGAGCAACGCCGCGUGAGUGAUGAAGGCUUUCGGGUCGUAAAACUCUGUUGUUAGGGAAGAACAAGUGCUAGUUGAAUAAGCUGGCACCUUGACGGUACCUAACCAGAAAGCCACGGCUAACUACGUGCCAGCAGCCGCGGUAAUACGUAGGUGGCAAGCGUUAUCCGGAAUUAUUGGGCGUAAAGCGCGCGCAGGUGGUUUCUUAAGUCUGAUGUGAAAGCCCACGGCUCAACCGUGGAGGGUCAUUGGAAACUGGGAGACUUGAGUGCAGAAGAGGAAAGUGGAAUUCCAUGUGUAGCGGUGAAAUGCGUAGAGAUAUGGAGGAACACCAGUGGCGAAGGCGACUUUCUGGUCUGUAACUGACACUGAGGCGCGAAAGCGUGGGGAGCAAACAGGAUUAGAUUCUUUGUGUU